GAUGAACGCUGGCGGCGUGCCUAACACAUGCAAGUCGAGCGAGAAGCUUACAUAGGAAUCUUCGGAUGAAUAAGUAAGUGGAAAGCGGCGGACGGGUGAGUAACGCGUGGGUAACCUACCCUAUACAGGGGGAUAACACAUUGAAAAGUGUGCUAAUACCGCAUAAGCACACAAUAUCGCAUGAUAUUGUGUGAAAAACUCCGGUGGUAUAGGAUGGACCCGCGUCUGAUUAGCUAGUUGGUGAGGUAAUGGCUCACCAAGGCGACGAUCAGUAGCCGGCCUGAGAGGGUGAACGGCCACAUUGGGGACUGAGACACGGCCCAAACUCUACGGGAGGCAGCAGUGGGGAAUAUUGCACAAUGGGCGAAAGCCUGAUGCAGCGACGCCGCGUGAGGGAUGACGGCCUUCGGGUUGUAAACCUCGUUCCAGCAGGACAAGCGCGAGUGACGGUACCUGCAGAGAAGC
This 465-nucleotide ribosomal RNA is filed under the name uncultured bacterium. RNAcentral's name for it is "bacterial SSU rRNA". It matches the Rfam family "Bacterial small subunit ribosomal RNA", at positions 28 to 491 of the family's 1533-position model. The record is from RNAcentral.